ACAAGGAUGACUGCUAAGAAACAUACCCUAAACUGGUAGAUGAGUCCCCAUUUUUGGGUUAACUCAGUGCUAACUUCUACUCCCAUCUGAAGAGACGAAACAUGAUUCAACUGACUGUACUUGGACAGAUUAACUGACUUCCGUUGACUGACGGAGUAGUACUAAUAUUUGAGAGAUAACUGAGAUCAUGAGAUUUCCUGAGUCACAUGACUGACUGAGUUCUAUAGAUGAUAGCUUAACUAAGAUUAUUGUCACAACAUGACAUGGCUCUAGGUACACAGCUAUGUUUUUCGGGUACGAAUACCCCCAGGACUCGAUAGAAGGAAACUGAAACACAUGACAUGACUUGAUCACAAGAUUUGAGUCCAUAAUUCAUAAUAUCAUAAGUAGGGGAUAUCAUAUUUCAUAUAGUUAUUCAACAUCUUAAACAUUGUAGGGAAUGCAUGGAUAUAUUUCGUGUACAUAUUGUAUAUCUCCAUUAUCUUGCAUGUUUCAUACCAUUACAAUAUCAACAUAUGAAAAGCAUGCAAUUCAUAUUGAAGCAUAUAGCUAACAUGAACUUGUCAUUUAGACAUCAUAGAACUAUACAAACAUGAAUUUCUAGCAUCCUAAGCAUUUUAUCGAACACCUUGCAUGCAUUCUUUAAGGCAUAGAUGGGUUUCAUACUUGCACCAUAUUAUACCACCGAGUUCAUGGUUUUCAAUUGACAAACAUAUAUAUUCCAUGAAAAUACCUUUAGACAUUACAUUGAAACUUAAACAACAAUCGUCAACAUGUACAUAUUCAUAUCACCACAAAAAGCUUACAAAAUAAUAUUUAAAACAUGGUUCUUGAGCUCUAUGAACCGAUUGGAUCCAUAGAUGAACACUACUCAUACCUUAGUGAUUGAAUCUUGAAAGAGAUCUAAUGUUUCUGAAAGUUCUUGAAGAAUUUCUUAGGCUUGCCCUUGAUUCUUCUUUACUAGAUUUUAACCCCUUUGGGAAAGAAUGCCCUUGUUCCUGAGGAGAUGAUCUUGAGAGGAAACCCUAAUCUUGUGGUUGAAAAUAUAUAAGAGAUAUUUUUGAGAUGUUUUAACUAAAGAGAAUGGAAGAUAAGACGUUCAUUGAGGGUUAUAAGUCAUGGGAAGUGAAGGGAAAAGACCAAAAUACCCUUAUGAAAUAAAUUUCCAGUUGCUGAAAAUCAUAGCUGACGACAUUUAUGAGAAGGCAUCAAAAGUGUGGUAAGCCGUCAAAAAUGUCUUCACACAGGAGCUAGAAAUUAUGGUUUCUAUCUAAGUCUAACUACCUUUGUGGUAGGGCGUCACAAAUGUGGUAAGCUACCACGAAUGUCAUCACUUAGGAGCUAGUUUCUGCCUAAGGCUGACGACCUUCAUGGUAGGGCAUCACAAAUGUGGUAAGCUACCACGAAUGUCGUCACACAGUUUCCAGCCUAACAUGAUGGAGUAAAAUAGGAAUAAUUCUUUUCUCCAAUAUCGUAUUUAGGCAAAAUUGGUAUUAUUGGAAAUAUAAUUUAAUUAUCUAUCUUUUGAUAGUUCAUGAGCUCAAAAAUUCUAAGUAUAAUGAGAUAUAUUCUCAUUUGAAGUUGACUAUGGCAAUAUCUUUCUCAAGAAUUCAAUCGGUGAGGAAUGUUUUGAUUCGUCUAAUAGCUGGGAGUUAUUUGAAGCCUUAAUAUACAUCUAACCUACUCAUAAAACUAUAAAAGAACCAUGAUGUACUAUGCAUGAGCUUGGUACAUGGCUCUAAUAUUGGUUUGGAUUUUUUGGGCUUUUACAAUAUCUCUCCCUUGGAAACAUUCAUCCUCGAAUGAUGAUUGCUUGAGAGGUGAGAAAAGAUAAAACAAUGUAUACACUGAUCAUGCUCAAGUGGCACAUGAUUUUAGGACUGAAUUGAAUUCUAAACUGAAUAUAGCCUAACUGAACAUGCAUAUCUGAUGCAUGACUGAUAAGCUGAACUCAUGAAUGCAUGAUAAGCUAUACAAUGAUACUUGAUACUUGAUACCAAUUUUAUACUAGAAUUUUGAACAUGAAACUGAAUAAGAUUAAGAAAAAUGGUUACCUCGAGCUAAGCCUGAAUUAGCAGAGAAAAGAUAAGGGUACUUGGUUUGCAUGUAUGCUUCUACUUCCUAAGUAGCUCCCUCCAUGGACUGAUUCCGCCAAAGAACCUUAACUAGAGGGACUUGUUUGUUCCUCAACCUACGAUUCUGAUAGUCGAGGAUUUUGACUAGAAUCUCUUCAUAAAAGAGGUUUUUCUAAAUGUCAAUGCUCUGAAUAGGGACUACAACUACUGGGUCACCUAUGCACUUCUUGAGCAAAGAUACAUGGAAGACUGGAUGAACUGAGGCUAGAUCUGAAAGCAAUUUAAGCUCAUAGGCUACCUUCCCAAAGCGACUGAGAAUCCUGAAGGGACCGACAUAUCGGGGACUGAGCUUUCCUUUCUUACUAAAUCUCUUCACUCCCUUCAUGAGAGAGAUCUUGAGAUAGUCAUAGUCAUCCACCUCGAAUUUGAGAUCCUUUCUACGAACAUUCGCAUAAGACUUCUGUCGGCUCUGAGCAGCCCGAAGUCUUUCUCUGAUCAACUAAACUUUCUCUGAGGCAUCGAGUACUAAGUUAGGCCCUAUGACUGUGGUCUCACAAACUUUGAACCAACUGAUUGGAGACCUACAUCUCCUACCAUAAAGAGCUUCGAAUGAAGCCAUCUGAAUGCUGGAGUGAUAGCUGUUGUUGUAUGCGAACUCAAUCAAAGGAAAGUGGUCCUCCCAGCUUCUCUUGAAAUCAAUUGCACACACCCUUAGCAUAUAUUCUAGAGUCUGAAUGGUCCUUUCAAUUUAACCAUCUAUCUGAAGAUGAAAUGUUGCACUGAGAUGAACUUGGGUACCAAAACCCUUUUGGAAUGCUUUCCAAAAGUGAGAGGUGAACAGGGUACCUCUGUCUGAGAUGAUAGAUAGUAGAACACCGUGUAAUCUGACCAACUCCCUGAUAUAGAGUUUGGCAUAAUCCUCGACCGAGUAAGAGGUGCGAACUGGAAGGAAAUGAGCUGACUUGGUCAUUCUUUCUACAAUGACCCAAACUAAAUCAUGCUGAUGAUGUGUUCUAGGUAAACCUAUUACGAAGUCCAUGUUCACUUCUUCCCACUUCCAAGUAGGAAUAGUGAACUCCUGCAUGGAACCACUAGGUUUUUGAUGCUUUAUCUUAACCUGCUGACAUGUAGAGCACUUAUCCACAAACUCUGCAACGUCCCUCUUCAUCCCAUUCCACCAAUAGAUCUCCCGUAAGUCAUGGUACAUCUUAGUGGCCCCUGGAUAAAUAGAGUAUCACGCACUAUGCAUUUUUUAAGAAUUCUCUGCCUCAAUUCAUCUACACCGAGAACACAUAGACGGCCCUGACAACGAAGAACACUAUCUUUCCCUUGGGAGAAAACCUCUACUUCCUAAUUUUGGACUAACUCUUUUAGCUUGACAAAGCUAGGAUCCCUAUCUUGCUUCUCUUUCACCUUGGAAACUAUAGAAGACUCUGAACUACUCUAAACACAACACCACCCUCUGAAGAGUCGACUAAGAGAACGCCUAGUCUGGCAAGCUGAUGAAUCUCCUGAGCUAAUUUCUUCUUACUAUCCUCAACAUGGGAAACACUACCCAUGGAUAGUCUACUGAGUGCGUCGGCCGCUACAUAGGCCUUGCCAGAAUGAUAAACUCUAACCACCUUCUCUAAUGAAGAUUAAGAUCUUUCUAGGAAAAGACAUACUGAAGGCUCUUAUGAUCUAUGAAAAUGUCUACAUGAACACCGUAUAGAUAAUAACUCCAAAUCUUUAAGGAAAAGACAACUACUGCUAACUCAAGGUCAUGAGUAGGAUAAUAUUUCUCAUGGGGCUUUAACUAUCUGGAUGCGUAGGCUAUGAUUCUACCAUGCUGCAUCAGGACACAACCUAAACCUACUCUGUAUGCAUCACAAUAUACUAUGAAUCCAUCAGAACCAUCAGGAAGUGCUAAAACUGGAGAUGAGGUGAGUCAAGUCUUAAACUCCUAAAAACUCUUCUCACAAGGUUCUAACCACUGAAACUUGACCUUCUUCUGAGUCAAUCUAGACAUAGGAGAUACAAUAGAAGAAAAUUCCUCGACAAACCAUCGAUAAUAGCCAGCCAAACCCAAAAAACUCUUGAUAUCUGAUGGAGAGACAGGGUGAGGCCAGUUCCUUACCACUUCAAUUUUCUGAGGAUCUAUUCUAAUGCUAUCACCAGAAACAAUGUGGCCGAGGUAUUCUUCUGAUCUUAGCCAAAAUUUGCCCUUACUGAACUUGGCGAACAACUGGUGAUCCCAGGGAGUCUAAAGAACAAUUAUGAGAUGGUCUGAAUGAUCACGCUAUGUGCGAGAAUAGACCAAAAUAUCAUCUAUGAAGACUAUAAUGAAUGUGUCCAAGUACUAAUUUAACAUCCGGUUCAUCAAGUCCAUGAAAGUUGCAGGGGCAUUAGUAAGACCAAAGGACAUGACUAAAAAUUCAAAGUGACCAUACCGAGUACAAAAAGCUGUCUUCGGAAUGUCACAUUCUCUAACUCUGAGCUGAUGAUAGCCUGAUCUGAGGUCUAUCUUAGAGAAAUAACUGGCACCCUAAAGUUGGUCAAAAAAUUCAUCUAUCCUAGGUAGCAGAUACUUGUUCUUGAGCGUGACUUUGUUGAACUAACGAUAAUCAAUACACAUUCUGAGAGAACCAUCUUUCUUGUGCGUGAAUAAGACUGGCGCACCCCAUGGAGAUACACUGGGACUGAUGAAUCCUUUAUCUAAGAGAUUUUCUAACUGAUCUUUCAGUUCUUUGAGUUCUGCUGGUGCCAUUCUGUAUGGCGGAAUAAAAAUAGGAUGAGUAUCUAGGAGAAGGUCUAUGCCAAAGUCUAUUUCCCUUUUGCGAAGAAUGCCUAGAAGAUAUUUAGGAAAGACGUCUGAAUAUUCAUUAACCACUAAGACUGCUUCGAUACUGGGAGAUUCACAACUGGAAUCCUUAACAUGCACAAGAUGAUACAUACACCCCUUAUAAAUCAAUUUCUUUGCCCGAAGGUAGGAAACAAGCUGACCCCUGAAAGAUGAAGUACUAUCCUUCCACUCUAGGAUGGGCUCAUUCGAGAACUGAAACUGAACUAUCCUAUUUAGUCGACUGUGGCAUAGCAGAAAUGAAGCCAAUCCAUGCCGAGAAUGACAUCAAAAUCAGUCAUCUCUAACUCAACCAAAUCUGCUGAUAUGGAUUUCUGAAAUAUCAUAAUCGGGCAGUUCCUGUAUACCCACCGAGCUAUGAUGGUUUUACCCACUAGGUUAGAGACUGAAAAGGGUUCUGCUAAAAUUUUGGGACUGAUUCCAAAAUCGCCUGCUAUGUAUGGAGUGAUAAAAGACAAGGAUUCACCUGGGUCUAGAAAAGCAUAAAUGUUUACAUGGAAAAUAUAUAACGUACUAGUAAUGACAUCAGGAGAAUUUUCCUUAUCCUGUUGGGUAUGAAGUGCAUAGAGUCUAUUUGGGCGUUGCCCACUAGUAGCACUGGAAGUGGCACCCUAUUGGUUCGGUGAUCGGACUGGGCUGUGGAAUGAUUUUGCAGACCUUGAGGGCCUGGCUGAGGACACUUCCUAAUCCUAUGGCCUGCCUUACCACAAACAAAAUAGACAUCACUACCGGCUCUGCAAAUACCAUUGUGGUUCUUACCACAAGUCUGACAAAGGAGGGUUUGUUUGGGCACUGCUAAUACUGCCCUAAGAUUUAAAGCCUGGUGCUCUGUCUCUGUUGCCGUCCCUGAACUUCGGAACUAGGGCACUAAAGGAGAAAGGGGCUGGAACUGCUUACUUAGGAUAAAACUGUGAAUGAUUUCCUCCCUCUGAUUUAGGCUAACCAAAACUAAAAUUGCCUGCUCUUUCUCUCUUGUUCUACCUCUCCCUAGUCUUAACCUUCUGCUCCUCUAUCUAUUGAGCGUGGGUCAUGAGCUCGGCUAAAGUCAUAUCGCUGUUUAGCAUUGCAGACCUACACUUAUUUACCAUGCUAUCAUUCACCCCUGACAUAAACUUGCUCAUCUUAGCACUGUUGUCUGCAACCACAUGAAGGGCAUAUCUGGCUAGCUGAGUAAAUCUAAGAGAAUACUCUUUAACUAUCAUAUUUCCCUGCCUGAGAUUGAUGAACUCAAGAACUUUGUCCUCUCUCAGCUCUUGGGGAAAGAAUCUAUCUAAGAAACCUAUGACAAAUUCUUUCUACUCAACAGGACCUCUAUCCUCUAACCUUUCUUCUAAUCACUGCUUGUACCAAGUAUGAGAGACAUCCUACAAUUGGUAUGCGGCUAAUUUGGCACUCUUAGAAGAAAUGACUCCCAUGAUAUCAAUGACCUUCUGGACUUGGUCAACGAAUUCAAAAGGAUUAUCGUUUGGCUUAGACCCAAAGAAAGAUGGAGGGUUUAUUCGGGUGAAGUCCCAAAUCCUAGCUGCUGCUGAAUUGGCCACUAGGUUGGCUGGAAUGACUACUGGUCAUUCAUUCUGGGUAGCUACAGACUGAGAAAGAGUGGUAAAUACGGUCCUAAACUCCGCAUGAGAAAUAUGUUCGCGUAAAGGAUCUUCGGGCUGAGAAGCUGGCUGAUUUCUUCUCUUUGGAGGCAUGUUUCUGAAAUAAGAGAAGAUCGGAUUAGACUGAGAGACUAACUUAAAAUUAUGUUUACUAGCACGACAUGAAUACUGAAGAAAAGGAAUUGUUCCUAAAACAUCUCAUAGCCUCCUGUACAAUAAUAUGGCGCGCAACACACCCAUAUACAAGACUUUACUAGAUGCGACUUUUAGACUUCCUAGGACUCUAUUGAACCUUAAGCUCUGAUACCAAGUUUGUAACGCCCCAAUUUUCCUGAACCGGAAUGCUACACGGUGCUUAUGACCCUGAAGGACCACAACUAACCCAUGACUAAUAUUUGUACCUGUAUACUGCAAUUCAUGAAAUAAUAAUACUGAAAACAUUAACAAUAGUCCAUAAGGUUCAACUGAAAUAAUAUAACAUCCAUAUGGGCGAAAAAUACCCAAAAUAACUAAAAACUGGAUCCAAAAGCUAAAUCUGAGUGUAAAUCCGAAAGCCUCUAAGUAUUGUCUGAAAUAAGUAAUUGAAUGAACAUAUAUCCAACUAACUCUGUAAACUGAUAACUGGCUAAAAUAAUAAUGAAUAAAUACAAUAGUAUUGUCCUCGAAUGAAGAGGAGUCACUGAAUCUCUAUAACUAGAAAUGCUACAGCUAUUUCCAAUCUGGAGCUCUUGUCUCUGAACCUAUGAUGUAACAUGAAAAGAAAGCGCCAUAGCGCAAAUGCAUCAGUACGAGGGGAUGUAAUGAGUAUACGAGUGAGGUAGGCUAAAUAUAAAAAGAGUUUGCAUGCAUAAACAAUGCUAACUGACUAACUGAUAUGAACAUAAGAGUGCAAACAUACAUACAUACAUAGUAACUAAGAUCGUGAGUACGUAAUGGCUAAAUCUGUACACUAAUACAUGGCUAGAACUAUAGUUCUGAUAACAUGGAUGACUGUGUAUGACAACCCUAAAUCUGGUUGAACUCUCUGAGUUCCGUGCUAUAACUGAAUUUGACCGUAUUUAACAGUCCCGGUAUACUGAUAUCUGAAGAAUUGUUUGAGUUCUUUACUGAGACUGAUACUGAAACUUUGGGGCUAGUUGUUUAACCGACAUGCCCCAUGUAUACCAUUAUGGCUAAGAUGGGGUCCAAUCUUCUCCCCGACUGAAGGGGUGUCAAUACCGUGCCACUGGUAAGGACAGUUGUGACUGACCCUUAUAUGGCAGGUACUCAAAGUGAGAACGGUGGGACCCUAAACUGACAGGUUAAGCCACCUCAUCAAUCAUAAUCUGACAGGCUAAGAUGUCUCAACCUUGGUGUUAACUUCUAAUCCCAUCUAAAGAGACUAAACAUGAUUCAACAGACUAUACUUGGAUAGAUUAACUGACUUUUGUUUACUGACAAAGUAGUACUAUUAUCUGAGAGUUAACUGAGAUUAAGAUAUUUCUGAGGUUUCCUGAGUCACAUGACUGAAUAAGUUCUAUAGAUUAUAGCUUGACUGAGAUUAUCAUGACAACAUGACAUGGCUCUAGGUACACAGCUAUGUUUUUUGGGUACGAGUACCCCCAGGACUCAAUAGAAGGAAACUGACAUACAUGACAUGACUUGAUCACAAGAUUUAAGUCCAUAAUUCAUAAUAUCAUAAGUAGGGGAUAUCAUAUUUCAUAUAGUUAUUCAACAUCUUAAACAUUGUAGGGAAUGCAUGGAUAUAUUUUGCGUACAUAUUAUAUAUCUCCAUUAUCUUGCAUGCUUCAUACCACAACAAUAGCAACACCUGAAAAGCAUGGAAUUCAUCUUGUCACUUAGACAUCAUAGAACCAUACAAACAUGAAUUUCUAGCAUCCUAAGCAUCUUAUCAAACACCUUGCAUGAAUUCUUUAAGGCAUAGGUGGGUUUCAUACUUGCACCAUAUUAAACCACCUAAAGUUCAUGGUUUUCAAUUAAAAACAUAUAUAUUCCAUGAAAACACCUUUAGACAUCAAAUCGAAACUUAAACAACAAACUUCAACAUGUACAUACUCAUAUCACCAUAAAAAGUUUACCAAAUAAUAUUCAAAACAUGGUUCUUAAGCUCUAUGAAUGGAUUGGAUCCAUAGAUGAACACUACAUAUACCUUAGUGAUUGAAUCUUAAAAAAGAUCUAAUUUUUCUAUAGGUUCUUGAAUAAUUCCUUAUGCUUGCCCUUGAUUUUUCUUGACUAGGGUUUAACCCCUUUGGGAAAGAAUGCUCUUGUUCCUGAGGAGAUGAUCUUGAGAGAAAACCCUAAUCUUGUGGUUGAAAAUAUAUGAGAGAGUUUUUUGAGAUUUUUUAACUAAAGAGAAUGGAAGAUAAUACAUUCCUUGAGGGUUAUAAGUCAUGGGAAGUGAAGGGAAAAGACCAAAAUACCCUUAUGAAAUAAAUUCCCAGUUGCUGAAAAUUAUAGCAGACACAUUUGUGACGAGGCAUCAAAAGUGUAGUAAUCCGUCAAAAAUGUCGUCACACAAGGGCAUGAAUUGAUGGUUUCUACCUAAUUCUGAUGACCUUCGUGGUAAGGCAUCACAAAUGUGGUAAGCUACCAUGAAUGUUGUCACUUAGGAGCUAGUUUCUGCCUAAGGCUGACGAUCUUCGUGGUAGGGCGUCACAAAUGUUGUAAGCUACCAUGAAUUUAGUCACACAGGAGCUGGUUUCUGCCUAAGGCUGACGACCUUUGUGGUAGGGUGUCACAAGUGUGGUAAGCUACCACGAAUGUCGUCACACAGUUUCCAGCUUGACAUGCUGGAGUAAAAUAUGAAUAACUCUUUACUCCGAUAUUAGAUUUAGGCAAAAUUGGUAUCGUUGAAAAGAUAAUUCAAUUAUAUAUCUUUUAAUAGUUCAUGAGCUCAAAUAUUCCAAGUUUAAUUAGAGAUAUGCUUGUUUGAAUUUGAAUAUGGCAAUAUCUUUCUCAAGAAUUCGAUUGGUGAGGAAUGUUUUGAUUCGUAUAAUAGCUGGAAGUUAUUUGAAGCCUUAAUAUACAUCUAACCUACUCAUAAAACUAUAAAAGAACCAUGAUUUACUAUGCAUGAGCUUGGUACAUGGCUCUAAUAUUAGUUUGGAUUUUUUGGGGUAUUACAAAAGAUUAUGACAUGAGUGUUCUGUAUUAUCUGGUCAAGGCCAAUGUUGUAGCAGAUGCUCUCAGUAAGUUAUUUGUAGGUAGUGUUGACCAUGUUGAGAUUGUUAAGAAGAAGUUAUCUCGAGAAGUUAACUUGAAAGAGUCAGUCAGAGAUCAGAAAGUAGAGGUUUUCUCCUAUGGGGGAGAUAAUAUUACAUUGCUAGGGUUGUCUAUGUGUUCUAGGUGUAGAUUACAUGAGGCAACAUAUUCUUGCAGAAGCGCAUGCUGCAUGUUACUCGAUUAAUCCAGGGGACACUAAGAUGUACCGUAAUUUGUGGGAGAUCUAUUUGAGGAGUGGGAUGAAGAAAGACAUUGCAAAUUUUGUAGCUAAGUGCACUACAUGUCAAUAGGUUAAGAUCGAGCACCAGAAUCCUAGUGGGUCCAUGCAGGAGUUCAAUGUUCCCACAUGGAAGUGGGAAGAAGUAAACAUGGACUUUGUGUUGGGUUUUCCUCGUACUUGUCAUUAGCAUGAUUUGAUUUUGGUUAUCAUAGACAAGAUGACCAAAUCCGCUCAUUUCUUACCAGUUCAUACUUCCUAUUCAGCCGAGGACUAUGGUAAACUCUAUAUCAUAGAGUUGGCCAAGUUAAACGGAGUUUCGGUAUCCGUUAUUUCAAAUAGAGGUACCAGUUUACCUCUUACUUCUGGAAAGCUUUCCAAAAGGGUCUUGGUACCUAAGUUCACCUUAGUAUGACUUUCUACCCUUGGACAGAUGGUCAAGAAGAAAGAACCAUUCAGACUCUAAAAGAUAUGUUAAGAUCCUGCAUUGUUGAUUUUAAAGGUAGUUGGGAUGACCAUUUUCCCUUGAUUGAAUUUGCCUAUAAUAAUAGCUAUCAUUCUAGUAUUCAAAUGGCUCCAUUUAAGGAUCUUUAUGGUAGGAUAUGUAGAUCUCCAAUUGGUUGGUUUGAAGUGGGUAAGGCCAUAAUAGUAGAGCUUGACUUAGUAUUUGAUGCCUUAGAGAAGGUUCAGUUGAUUAGAGAACGGCUUAGGGCAGCCCAGAGCUGAUAGAAAUUGUAUGUAGAUGUGAGGAGAAAAGAUCUCAAGUUUGAGAUUGGUGAUUUUAUGUUCUUGAAAAACUCUCCCAUGAAUAGAGUGAAGAGGUUCGGCAACAAGGGGAAUUCUAAGCUGUUUUGAAAAGAUAACUUACAAUCUUCUAUUGCCUUCAGAUAUAGCUUCAGAACACCCAGUAUUCCACAUCUCCCUACUAAAGAAAUGCAUUGGAGACCCAGCAGUAAUAGUCCUCUUAAACAGCAUAGAUAUUCAGAAUGAUCUCUCUUUCAAAGAGGCUCAGUCCAAGUCCUCGAUCAUCAGAUUUGCAAACUGGGGAACAAAGAAGUUUCCUUAGUGAAAGUUCUUUGGCAGAAUCAGUCUGUUGAGAGAGCUACACAGGAAGUAGAAGCAGAUAUACGGACUAAGUAUCCUCACCUCUUCUCCGCAAACUCAGACUCAGCUUGAGGUAACAAUCUUCCUUAUAUUUACUCAGUUCCAUGUUCAAAUUUAGUACAAACUUCAGUUACAGUGCAUAUCACCAUCAUGACAAUCAUGCAUUCAUAAAUCAGUUCAGUCAUGCACUCACUAUAAGAAAUACAGUUUUUUGUGAUGACUUUCAGUGUCAACACAAACAAUUGCCACAAAAGUUAGGUUUUUUGUGGCGACAUAUAAAAGUUGUCACAAAAGGUAUAAAAUUUAAGGGCGAUUGUUAAAGUCGCCACUAAUAAUAACAUAUUUAGUGGCGACUAUAUGUAGGUCACCACAAAUAUGUAGUAACUUUUUCGACAAAAUUUGGGUUAGUAACGACCUAUGAAUUGUCACUACUAAAAGUCUUUUGUGGCUACUUAGUCUCCACUAAUAAUGGCAUAUUUAGUGGCGACUAUGUGUAGGUCGCCCCAAAUAUGUGGUAAUUUUGCCAAUAAAAUUUGGGUUAGUGGCGAACUAUGUCGCUAUUAAAAGUCUUUUGUGGCGACUUAAUCGCUGCUAAAGAGAGACUUGUUGUUGCCAUCUUUUUUGUCGCCACUAAUACUUCUACUUUGUUAUUCUUCCCACUUAUAUAGGUAAAUUAAAAUAUUUUUAGUGGAUAUAAUGAGGUGAUAUUACAGAGGAAUAUAACUGGAUAUAAUUUACAAUUUAUCAAUUCAAAUACGAUAUAUUUUACAAGUUACUACUAUGUGACAAGGAGGUCACAGGUUCAAGACUUGGAAAUAGCCUCUGGCAGAAAUGUAAGGUAAGGUUGCGUACGAUACAUCCUUGUGGUGGGGCCCUUCCCCGGACACCAUGCAUAGCGGUAGCUUUAGUGCACCGGGCUGCCCUUUUUUUGUAAAUACGAUAUUUUACAUAAUUUUAUUUAUAUUUAUUAAAUCAUUUUUUCACAAAUAUGCACGCUCACAAUUUACAAAGGCUUUGUCUUUUAUUAUUAUUAUUAUUUCUAUUUUAUAUAAUGUUUUAUGUAACAUAAAUUUUAAAUGCAAAGUUAUUAUUAUUUCUAUUAUUAGAUUUAUUAAAAUAGUAGAGCUAAAUCAAUUCAAUUAUCUUUUCAAUUUUAUUUAAAUUCUAGCCAUUGUUUAAACUCGAUCUAUAGCAAUUUUAACAUAAAAAUUUUCCCAUUUAAAUUUAAUUUCAACUCUUUAAUUUAAUUGUUUCCUAAUUUUAAAUAUCUUAUUACUUUAAAUCUCAGCCAUGGAUCAAAUUGAUCCAAGGGCUGAGAUUAAUACUCUUUCCCAUUAACACCAAAAAACAAACCCUAAUCCUUAUUCUCAAGACAUCAGCUGCCCUUUUUCCUCUUCUCUCUUCUUUCUCUCUCUAUCCCUCUUUUCUCUCUUCUCUCUAAAUGAAACCAACACCAGAAGUCAUGCAAAAACGGUCAUCAUCCUUCCGUUAACCAAUACCAGCGCCACUUCUUCUCUCUCCACCGCCGGCAGACAUCUCCAAUCGGAGAACUCCCUCAGUUCACCACGCCACCUCCAGCCGCCCCUAAAUCCACCAUGAACCACCAGCGAACAGCGACGCCAUUGCUUUCUCUCCUUCGCUAGGGCCGCCCUCCGGCGCCUCUCCGUUCUCCUCUCCGCCUUUACCCACUAGCCACCGGAGAAGCGAGCAACGUCGUUGCCACUCCAGCCCCGUUAGACGCCCCAGCCACCACAACUACGAUCCCGCUGGUCACCUCACUGCCCAACCAACAGUCACCCGCUGGAGACUCCCAUCCCCCGUUCGUCGUCUCUUCUCCAAUCAACAAUGAUAAAAUUCUUCAAGUCCAUGUCUCUUCUCCAAUCAACAAUGAUAAAAUUCUUCAAGUCCAUGAAGGAUUCACAUUUAGGAUGUGAAUCCUCCUCAGGUUCGUCGUUCUAUUUUAAUUUUUAUCAAAAAUUUCUUCUACCCUUUUUUUUAGUUUUGACAGAUCCCAUGAUAAAAUUGAUAUGGAUUGAUUGAGAAUUUUGUCAAUUUUUGUGGAAUUCUGUUUGUUUAGUCAACUAUGCUAUCAUGGCAUUUUGUUGGUCACUCAAAAAAAUUAAUUACGUGAUUUUGACAUGAUAAGUUUGGUUUGAUUACGUGUUCCCAUCCUAAUUGAUUAGUCUCUUUAUUCAAAUUCAGAAUGACUGAGUAUUUAGCUGACUUUGUUUGGUGGAGUUUCUCCUUGUGUAUAGUGUACGACAAUUCCUGAUGCUCAAUGUUAGAUCCGUUUUGAAGUUAUUUUAUCUUCUUGUUUAUAGUAGAAAUUCUUCGUUAAUUGAUUAUAUUUAAUAUUCUCUUGUUUCUUUGACUGAACCUUAUUCUUAAUUGUGUUAGUUGAAAAUAGAAAAUUGGAGUGAUUGAUUUUUCCUCUGAUUGAAUAUUAUUAGUUAAUUGAUUUAAUGUUUAGAGAAAAUCUCCUUGACUAGUUGCAUUGAAUUUCUUUUUACUGGCUAGAUCUUUCUUUUAGUUUCGUUGUCCUUUUAGUCUAUUUUGGUACAAGAGUUGAAUUGAGAUCUUUCUUUGUUGUGGUACAAGAGUUAAAUUGUUCUGCAUUUCUUAUGUUUGCGAAUUUCUACUGCAAGCCAACUGAAAUUAUGACUUCUUUUUAGUGUGAACUAUUAAGGGAACUCGACAAAUGGAUAUGCACUAGUCACUAGGAAUAAGAAAAUUUUUUCUAAUAAGAUAGCUAGUUUCAAUUUGCAUUACAAACCUAAAAUAGAACUAGAAAUAGAUUGGAACUUGAGAUACCAUGAUCUUUGUCCACCCAUAUGUUUUAAGUUAAUAUGUAGUGUUUUAAUUACUCUCCUAUAUUGUUGUUUCUAUCUAUAGUUAGUCUUGAAUGUGUUUUAUUUCCAUCAAUUAUGCAUGAUUAUUUUACUAAGUGUUAUUUAGUUAAGCAUUAAUUCAGAAAUAGGGAGAGAGAGAACCCCUAUCCCCUUGCCAGGAGCAACUUCAAUUCAGUUACACUAUAGCUGUUGUUUAUUGUAUAUACAUACAACUCUCUCAGCUAUUAAAAGGUUUGAUUUCUUAACUUGCUUCUCUAGUUUCAUUGGUUUAUUGAUAACAGGUUACUUUUUAAUUCUUGAAAGUUUCUACUGUUUUCUUUGAGUAAUUUUUUCUAAGUUCAUUUGCGAGUUUUUCCUUAAAAAGCUUUUCCUAUAGUAGUACCAUAGAAAACCAUAAUUGAAAGGUAACUCAGAAUGAUCAAUUAUAUGAAAGACAUGCACUGAUAAAGUCCUUAUGUUGUUGGUUGAUUUUCUUACGUUCAACUUUAAGCAAUGAAAAUGGUUCUAGUGAGGCCACUGAGUUGCCCAUAGUUUGGAUGAAGUUAGAUAGCUAAAUAGCUUCUAAGUUACACCUUUUGGAAUGAUAGUAAGCGGAUUUAAUUGGUUGUUUGCGAAGUUCAUAAUGUGAGAUAUUGAAAUUGCAUUUGUGAACAAUCUUUUUAUGGGCUAAAUUCUUUUUCAAUUCUUAAGGUGUAGAAAGUAGGCUUGUAAUCAGCUCUUUCAUUAUUUUUAACGAAUUUGAAUCUUUCUAAGCUUCUAGUCUACUUGUUAUAAUCAACUCUUUCAUUCUUUUUUCUGGAAUUGCUUAUUAUGAUUUUGGACCAUAAUCUUUAAGUUCAAGUAAAAACUCGUGAACCAGGCAUACUGCUUGACUUUGAUUUUCUUCUCUUAUGAUAUCUAUUUUUGUUUUUGUUAUAUGUGUGCACUUUUCAAUGUAUUAGCAGGCAGAUGCCUAAAUGGCUAGUCAUAUGCCAUUAUCCAUCAAUUUUUAGGAACUCUAGUAUUAUGUAUCCUGGGGUUUGCUGUUUGUUUUCAGUCAUGGUGCAGUUGCUAUCACAAUAUUUAUAGGAUUAUGCUAUCUUUUUUUAUUCUUUCUUACGAACUUUCUUACUACUAUUCUUUGUCUUGAUCCGGGGUCUAUCCGAAACAUCCUUGCAACUUCUCUGAAAGUAGUGGUAUGGACUGCGUAUAUCUUAUCUGCCCCAGACCCCACUAUGUGAGAAUACACUGAGUUUGUUGUUGUUGUAAGAGUAGUUAAAAAGGAAGUUCAUUUUCUGAAAAUAAAAAAGGGCAGAAUUUUUAUUGAGUCAAAGUUCCUAAGCUUUCUUAAUGUAGUUCAUCAUUUGAGGAAUUAAAAGUCUAUCCUUUUGGAAGAGCCAGUUUAAUAAGUAUGUUUUUAUCCCCAUUUGUAAGAUGAGUGUUGAGGG
RNAcentral lists this long non-coding RNA (15334 nucleotides) under Capsicum annuum. RNAcentral's name for it is "long non-coding RNA (CANN_LNC008269)". The record is from RNAcentral. Lineage: Eukaryota; Viridiplantae; Streptophyta; Magnoliopsida; Solanales; Solanaceae.